Molecule: ribosomal RNA, 529 nt
Filed under: uncultured bacterium
Lineage: Bacteria
Description: bacterial SSU rRNA
Rfam family: Bacterial small subunit ribosomal RNA
Source: RNAcentral
AAUAGAUACCCGGGUAGUCCAUGCCGUAAACGAUGUCUACUAGCCGUUGGGGCCCUUGAGGCUUUAGUGGCGCAGCUAACGCGAUAAGUAGACCGCCUGGGGAGUACGGUCGCAAGACUAAAACUCAAAUGAAUUGACGGGGGCCCGCACAAGCGGUGGAGCAUGUGGUUUAAUUCGAUGCAACGCGAAGAACCUUACCUGGCCUUGACAUACAGAGAACUUUCCAGAGAUGGAUUGGUGCCUUCGGGAACUCUGAUACAGGUGCUGCAUGGCUGUCGUCAGCUCGUGUCGUGAGAUGUUGGGUUAAGUCCCGCAACGAGCGCAACCCUUUUCCUUAUUUGCCAGCACUUCGGGUGGGAACUUUAAGGAUACUGCCAGUGACAAACGUGGAGGAAGGCGGGGACACGGUCAAGUCAUCAUGGCCCUUACGGCCAGGGCUACGACACGUGCUACAAUGGUCGGUACAAAGGGUUGCUACUGCGCGAGCAGAUGCUAAUCUCAAAAAGCCGAUCGUAGUCCGGAUCGCAGU